GAUGAACGCUGGCGGCGUGCCUAAUACAUGCAAGUCGAGCGAACGGACGAGAAGCUUGCUUCUCUGAUGUUAGCGGCGGACGGGUGAGUAACACGUGGAUAACCUACCUAUAAGACUGGGAUAACUUCGGGAAACCGGAGCUAAUACCGGAUAAUAUUUUGAACCGCAUGGUUCAAAAGUGAAAGACGGUCUUGCUGUCACUUAUAGAUGGAUCCGCGCUGCAUUAGCUAGUUGGUAAGGUAACGGCUUACCAAGGCAACGAUGCAUAGCCGACCUGAGAGGGUGAUCGGCCACACUGGAACUGAGACACGGUCCAGACUCCUACGGGAGGCAGCAGUAGGGAAUCUUCCGCAAUGGGCGAAAGCCUGACGGAGCAACGCCGCGUGAGUGGUGAAGGUCUUCGGAUCGUAAAACUCUGUUAUUAGGGAAGAACAUAUGUGUAAGUAACUGUGCACAUCGUGACGGUACCUAAUCAGAAAGCCACGGCUAACUACG
RNAcentral lists this ribosomal RNA (495 nucleotides) under uncultured bacterium. Its description in RNAcentral is "partial 16S ribosomal RNA". It matches the Rfam family "Bacterial small subunit ribosomal RNA", at positions 28 to 505 of the family's 1533-position model. The record is from RNAcentral.